Molecule: long non-coding RNA, 1876 nt
Organism: Oncorhynchus tshawytscha (Chinook salmon)
Lineage: Eukaryota; Metazoa; Chordata; Actinopteri; Salmoniformes; Salmonidae
Source: Ensembl
CCUUGACACCGUCAUGUGACUUCUCCAGGCACCGUAUCUACUGUAUAGACAACAGACCUUUUAUUUAACUAGGCAAGUCAGUUAAGAACACAUUCUUAUUUUCAAUGACGGCCUAGGAACAGUGGGUUAACUGCCUUGUUCAGGGGCAGAAUGACAGAUUUGUACCUUGUCAGCUCAGGGGUUUCAAUCUUGCAACCGCACAGUUAACUAGUCCAACGCUCUAACCAUUGCACUCCACGAGUAGCCUGCCUGUUACACGAAUGCAGUAGAAGCCAAGGUAGAUUAAAUACCGAACGGUUCCGUAUUUCACCGAAAUAAUAAACGUUUUGUUUUUGAAAUGAUAGUUUCCGGAUUCGAUCAUAUCAAUGACCAAAGGCUCGUAUUUCUGUGUGUUAUUAUGUUAUAAUUAAGUCUGACUUGAUAGAGCAGUCUGACUGAGCAGCAGCAGGCCUGUAAUCAUUCAUUCAAACAGCACUUUUGUGCGUUUUGCCAGCAGCUCUUCGCAAGCACAGCGCCGUUUAUGACUUCAAGCCUAUCAGCCUAAUGGCUGGUGUAACCAAUGUGAAAUGGCUAGCUAGUUAGCUGGGUGUGCGCUAAUACUGUUUCAAACGUCACACGCUUUUAGAUUUGGAGUAGUUAUUCCCCUUGCACUGCAAGGGCCGCGGAUUUUUUGGAGCAGUGGCUGUUGUCGAUGUGUUCCUGGUUCAAGCCCAGGUAGGAAGCUAUACUGUUACACUGGCAAUACUAUAGUGCCUAUAAGAACAUCCAAUAGUCAAAGGUAUAUGAAAUACAAAUGGUAUAGAGAGACAUAGUCCUAGAAAUACUAUAUUAACUACAACCUAAAACCUCUUACCUUGGAAUAUUGAAGUCUCAUGUUAAAAGGAACCACCAACUUUCAUAUGUUCCCAUGUUCUGAGCAAGGAACUUAAACAUUAGCUUUUUUACAUGGCACAUAUUUUACAUUGCACACAUUUUUACAUGGCACAUAUUACUUUCUUCUCCAACACUUUGUUUUUGCAUUAUUUAAACCAAAUUGAACAGGUUUCAUUAUUUAUUUGAGGCUAAAUUGAUUUUAUUGAUGUUUUAUAUUAAGUUAAAAUAAGUGUUAAUUCAGUAUUGUUAUAAUUGUCAUUAUUACAAAUUAAAUUAAAUACAUUUCUUUUUAAAUUAAAAAUCCACAGGCUUUUUUGGUCCUCCAAUAAUCGGUAUCGCCGUUGAAAAAUCAUGAUCGGUCGACCUCUACUCCAGGCACCGUAUCUAUAUUUGUAUAUAAAUAAUAACCUGCACAUUCUGUGCCAGUUUCCCUAACCUGCAUUAAAUCUGGUAUCCAGACGUUUAUGCAACAAACAACCAACACCGUUUCUUUCCCUCGGACAUCAUUGCACACCAUUUUGUUUUCCCAGAAUUCUGGAUGCUCCUCUCCUCCGUUUCAUCAACAACACAAAAACAAUAACAAAUGCGCUGGGGGUGAACAGUGCUGUUUCACCUGAUGCUGACUGAACAGUGGUGCGGAUUUCAGCUUUAAGCUUAGUCCUGGACUAAAAAGAAUCGCCAUUGAGCAUGCUAUUUAAUCCAGGUCCGAGACAAGUCAACUUAAUCUGGGUCUGUGAAACCUACUCACAAACUCAUUAUGCCUAUAUCGCUCUGCCAAGGUCUAGGUGUUUAAGUCGUCAGAACUCUGUAGACAUAUACCCAUUUCUUCUGGAUCUCUGCCUUACCUCCGCCCUUACCUCCAGCCUUACCUCCAGCUACGAAGGAGCGGACCAAGUGACAGUCCCCCUGAGUGUGGUCGGGGAUCACAGGACGACCACGGGUGAGACUGCAUCGUCCGUUGCCAUGAUGUGUGAGUUCAAUCAGGACCCGAAUGCAUCCAUAA